UCGAAAACUUUGCAAUACACGAAAGUGUGACAAGGCUAUCCCGAGUGCCAUCCGCUGAGGAAGGCUUUUACCCAGUAUAAAUAGCUGGGAGAAUAAGGAGAGGGCAAGUCUGGUGUCAGCCGCCGCGGUAAUACCAGCUCUCCGAGUAGUGUGGAUGUUUAUUGGGCCUAAAGCAUCCGUAGCUUGCUAAGCAAGUCCCCUGUUAAAUCCACCGAUUCAAUCGAUGGAUUGCGGGGGAUACUGUUUGGCUAGGGGACGGGAGAGGCCGACGGUAUUUCCGGGGUAGGGGUGAAAUCCUAUAAUCCCGGGAAGACCACCAGUGGCGAAGGCUGUCGGCUAGAACGCGCCCGACGGUGAGGGAUGAAAGCUGGGGGAGCGAACCGGAUUAGAUACCCGGGUAGUCCCAGCUGUAAACGAUGCAGGCUAGGUGUUUGGGCGGCCACGAGCCGCUCUAGUGCCGCAGGGAAGCUGUUAAGCCUGCCGCCUGGGGAGUACGGCCGCCAAGGCUGAAACUUAAAGGAAUUGGCGGGGGAGCACCCCACAGGGGUGAAGCUUGCGGUUUAAUUGGAGUCACGCCGGAAAUCUCACCGGGAGCGACAGCAGUAUGAAGGCCAGAUUAAAGGUCUUGCUAGACGAGCUGAGAGGAGGUGCAUGGCCGUCGCCAGUUCGUGCCGUGAGGUGUCCUGUUAAGUCAGGCAACGAUCGAGACCCGCGUCCUCUGUUGCUACUGGCUUUGAGCCAGGCACACUGAGGAGACCGCCGCUGAUAAAGCGGAGGAAGGAGCGGGCCACGGCAGGUCAGUACGCCCCGAAUCUCCCGGGCCACACGCGAGCUGCAAUGGCAGGUACAAUGAGUUCCGACCUCGUAAGGGGAAGGCAAUCCCGAAAGCCUGCCGUAGUUGGGAUCGAGGGUUGAAACUCACCCUCGUGAACAUGGAAUCCCUAGUAAUCGCGUGUCACUAGCGCGCGGUGAAUACGUCCCUGCUCCUUGCACGAAUUCGCCGA
Molecule: ribosomal RNA, 1004 nt
Filed under: uncultured crenarchaeote
Lineage: Archaea; Thermoproteati; Thermoproteota
Description: bacterial SSU rRNA
Rfam family: Archaeal small subunit ribosomal RNA
Source: RNAcentral